GGGGUUGUGGCUCAGUGGUAGAGUACUCACCUCGCACGUGUGAAGCACUGGGUUUAAUCUCAGCACCA
RNAcentral lists this transfer RNA (68 nucleotides) under Ictidomys tridecemlineatus (thirteen-lined ground squirrel). Its description in RNAcentral is "Spermophilus tridecemlineatus (thirteen-lined ground squirrel) tRNA". It matches the Rfam family "tRNA". From Rfam's summary of the family: Transfer RNA (tRNA) molecules are approximately 80 nucleotides in length. Their secondary structure includes four short double-helical elements and three loops (D, anti-codon, and T loops). The record is from Rfam by way of RNAcentral. Lineage: Eukaryota; Metazoa; Chordata; Mammalia; Rodentia; Sciuridae.